Molecule: long non-coding RNA, 541 nt
Organism: Astatotilapia calliptera (eastern happy)
Lineage: Eukaryota; Metazoa; Chordata; Actinopteri; Cichliformes; Cichlidae
Source: Ensembl
CACUGAAAAAAAGGGACUGGCCAUCUCUUGGAUUUAUGUAAGCAUCUUGCAUGUAUUUAACACAAUUGCCUCAUGUUUUAAAGUUAAAUGUAACUAUAUAGUGUAAAAACUACAUGAUAUGCAGAAAGGGUGUAUUAAAUUGUUCAUAUCAUGUUCAGGUGAAGUAAGUUAAUAAGAUAGCAACGUUAAAUCUCGUGAAACCACGCGUGAUUUCAUCUCGCGGGCUUUGGAUCGUGGUUUAAAAAAGGCAUCCAUCUCAGUCAAGUCGAGUAGCCAACUCUACGUUUUUGGUAUGUCUUGAUUUUUUGAAUUAAUUUUUACCAUAUUUCAGCCAAAUGUAGUUAAACGUCUAGAGUGUCGCCAUGUAACAUGCUAAAAAAGAGCCGUUAGCUUAUUUGCUGUUUUAUCUGUUGUCAAAGAAUUGGCGCUUUUUCAUUUGAAUUUAUGACCUCUAUUCUGCAUUUCACCAGGAGUCAGCUGAUGGAUUGUGGGUUCAAGGUGUUAUGAUAAAAUGCAGCAUUCCAGUGCAUCCCAACCAUGC